RNAcentral lists this unclassified non-coding RNA (345 nucleotides) under soil metagenome. RNAcentral describes it as "partial contains 5.8S ribosomal RNA, internal transcribed spacer 2, and large subunit ribosomal RNA". The stretch from base 1 to 120 matches the Rfam family "5.8S ribosomal RNA", at positions 35 to 154 of the family's 154-position model. The record is from RNAcentral.
GAUGAAGAACGUAGCGAAAUGCGAUACGUAAUGUGAAUCGCAGAACUCAGUGAACCAUCGAGUCUUUGAACGCACAUUGCGCCCCCUGGUAUUCCGGGGGGCAUGCCUGUCCGAGCGUCAUUGCUGCCCUCAAGCACGGCUUGUGUGUUGGGCCUCCGUCCUCCUCCCGGGGGACGGGCCCGAAAGGCAGCGGCGGCACCGCGUCCGGUCCUCGAGCGUAUGGGGCUUCGUCACCCGCUCUUGUAGGCCCGGCCGGCGCUUGCCGACACAUCAAUCUUUUUUCCAGGUUGACCUCGGAUCAGGUAGGGAUACCCGCUGAACUUAAGCAUAUCAAUAAGCGGAGGA